AUCCGCGAUAGGUGUGAUGUCCUGGAAUGGUAUCACGCCCAAAGGUGUUCGCACGCCUAAGGAUGGGGCUGCGGCCGAUCAGGCAGUUGGUGAGGUAACGGCUCACCAAACCUUUGACCGGUACGGGCCAUGAGAGUGGUAGCCCGGAGAUGGACACUGAGACAAGGGUCCAGGCCCUACGGGGCGCAGCAGGCGCGAAACCUCCUCAAUGCACACACGUGCGAAGGGGUUACCUCGAGUGCCGCCUGAAGAAGGCGGCUUUUCCAUGGUCUAAAAAGCCUAGGGAAUAAGAGGGGGGCAAGACUGGUGUCAGCCGCCGCGGUAACACCAGCCCCUCGAGUGGUAGGGAUGAUUAUUUGGCCUAAAGCGUCCGUAGCCGGCCGGAUAAGUCUCCCGUUAAAUCCAGCGUCUCAAGCGUCGGACUGCGGAAGAUACUGUCUGGCUAGAGAGUGGGAGAGGUGUACGGUAUUCUGGGGGUAGGGGCGAAAUCCAUUGAUCCCCGGAGGACCACCAGUGGCGAAGGCUGUACACUAGAACACGUCUGACGGUCAGGGACGAAAGCUGGGGUAGCGAACCGGAUUAGAUACCCGGGUAGUCCCAGCCGUAAACGAUGCACG
Molecule: ribosomal RNA, 617 nt
Filed under: uncultured archaeon
Lineage: Archaea
Description: bacterial SSU rRNA
Rfam family: Archaeal small subunit ribosomal RNA
Source: RNAcentral